GUUCCCUGUCACAAGAAGAGAAAGGACCAGCAGGGAAUCAGAAGGUCCUUGAAGAGGCCACCUCCCCUCCUUGGCUCUCCAAUGCCAUGUCUCUGAGCGCGGGGUUGAGAGCCAGCAGCCGGGCAUUGGGUGCACCGGCUCCCACGCCCUUCCCAGCACCAGGACCUCACCUCCAGGAUGUCGGAGGCCGGGAUGUCCAUGGCUUCUGUUCCUCCGUAGUACAAAUACUGCAUCAUCAUCUGCAGCGGGAAGAGGCCCUGCGUGAACACCAAACGGCCCCGCGGCACCCACGUCCUCUGGCUUCACCAGAGUGCCGCUCUCCGCCCUGGGCCUGGCUGCGCCCUCCACCCUCUCCAUGUGGAUGCGUGCACAUCCCCACUCACUGAAGCGGAUAUUUUGUGCAGUCUCUACAGGGGCCUACCCUCAGAAGCUGCUUCCAACUUUCCCGGCUGUGCUAGAUCUCCAGCGUGGAGGUGAGAGCCAGACCCUGUCUGCCCCCUGGAUUUGUUCCCUUGGACAGCAAGCUCAGAGCUGGGGUUGGGUCUGGUCCAGAGGUCACCUCGUUGCCUGGCCCAGACCUGGGGCUUGUGGGAACAGAGGGCCUGGGAUAUCAAAUGAGGUGGCCUAGGACUGGGGAACUACAUUUAAUUUCACUGUGGUCUGUCACAAACUCUGCCAUCACGCUGGAGCCUGGGAGGUUCCCAGUUGGAAAAAGAAAAAUGAUUCUCCCCGGUUGGCUGCAGAAACAGCCCCAGCAAGGAGCUGGCAAGUGUGUAAGUAAACACGACUCCGGCCCGCACAGUCGGGCUCUGUUAGGAGCCGGCCCCCGGGCUGGAAGAGGCACCAGAGGGUCUAGGAAGCAGCCCAACCCUGGGGGAGAAGAGUGGGGAGAUGGCUAGUCUGUCCAGGCCUGAGGUCAGUCCCCGGAGACUGUCCCUCCCCACAGAGCGGGGGGCGGGGGAGGCUCCCUCGGUCCAGCAGCCCCUGCUGGAGCACAGAUGGAGGUGUCUGUCCUUCCAGGAGGUGUGCGCCUCAGGUGCCGUCCCCUGUGCUGGGCACAGAGUGGCUGUUUGGGACACCGGCAGGACUGCCUUGGAUGAUCCAGUGCUGGGAGUGGAGCAGGUGGGGGGAUGGGGGGUAGGAUCUCCUAGGCUUGUUUGCUAAGGGGUGGCCUCAGGCCAGCCAGCCCCUCAGCAAGAAGGGGCCUGGGGGUGUGGGCCGUGAGAUGGGCCGGAGUCCUGCAGCUCUCCUUCCCAGGCCCCACGGCUCGGGAGCUGGUUCAACAAGGCCCAGCCACCUGUGGCCUGUGGAUCUCCCUGAAGUCCCUUAAAUGGAUAUUAGUCUGUGGAAGCCAGAGCUGAACCGCUCCCUGGGAACCUUGCUGCGGGAGGCGGGUGGCCAGCAGGCAGAGAUGGGUUGAUUGUGUGCAGCCCAGCAGCCUGAGGGUCCAGACAGGCUGCUCUGGGAAAGGCCCCAGGCAGCGUCAGCUACAGAGGGGGUGGCAGGGUCUCCUUCCGUCCCGGACAGGACCCCAGGAACCUGACUCCAGGAGGCUGCAGAUACUGCCGGGACAAGACUGGGGUCAGAAGCCAGGUAAGACCAGCCGGUCCUCAAAGGCCCGGGUGGGGUCGUCGGCAGUGACCUUGGCAAGAUCUAGGCUGGCCCUAACACUAUAGCCGCUGACCACAUCUAGCUUUUAAGUAUUUGGAAUACUUAAAAUACUGAAUUGAGAUGUCAAAAACACACUGGAUUUCAAAUGCUUAUGUUUUACAUUCUUGGUAUGAAAAUACAGUUGCUAAUUUUUAUAUUGAUCACAUGUAAUAUUUUGGCUACCAUGGGUUUAAUAUGUUAUUAAUUUCACUCCA
Herpailurus yagouaroundi (jaguarundi) is the source of this 1865-nucleotide long non-coding RNA. RefSeq lists it as uncharacterized. The transcript has 2 exons. Lineage: Eukaryota; Metazoa; Chordata; Mammalia; Carnivora; Felidae. The record is from RefSeq and is a predicted model, not a curated record.